Bos indicus x Bos taurus (hybrid cattle) is the source of this 1457-nucleotide long non-coding RNA. Lineage: Eukaryota; Metazoa; Chordata; Mammalia; Artiodactyla; Bovidae. The record is from Ensembl.
AGAAUUGGCCUGUCGAGCAUGUUUGGGAUUCAAGAAUGAAUUGGAAGCAAACGGAAGAGCUGACAUCCCCGCGCCCUUUCAAGUACCGGGGUUCUGCCAGUCUCCGGGACUUGGAGCUGCCCGCAGGGGAGACCAGUGGGGCCUCCUCUGGGAUCUACAUUCGGAGCCCCGUGCCCUUGCCAUAACGGAGGUGAACUGGCAGUGUCCAAGGAACUACCCUGAGAUCCCGGAGUCUAGCAGAGGCACCCUGAUGGCGAGGGGUGCAUGGCCCACGCUACCCCAGAGGAGAAGCCGCUGGAAGAAGCCUCGCUUGUCAAAAGCCAGCGGCAGUGUGCUGGGCCUUCCGCCCUGGCCUCUCUGUAGUUCGAAUUGCUUCCCUGCGGGGAUCCCAACCCUGACAGAGCCCCUACUGCUGGAGGGUGUCCAGUCUGGAGCCCCCUCACCGCCCUGGAUGGAGAAGGCACUCUCUGCCCGGCUCUGGUGCCCACCGACUGCCACCUCCACUGUUUCCAGCCCUCGGGCACCCACACCGAAUCCCUGCUUCUGGAGUGGGUUGCAGAGAGGGUCUGGAUGCUUCCAACCAAGACUUCCCCGGGAAUGUGAACCAUGCAGCAGAUGCCGAACAAACCCCAGAUGUUCAGAACCGGGGCAGGGGCAAGCUGUCUUCUGUACACGGGCCGCCUCCUGGGAGGGCCUGCUGAUUCUUCUGCCUGGUCCUGGAGUCCUGGCCUGGGCACCACCGCUCAGGAACACAGAGAUUGAGGCUGUGGGCUUGACCUCCCUCCUUUGAGCCAGGUGGGAGAUGGCCCCGGAUUGCCGGCCCAAACUGGCGGCCCAGAAAGCGCAGGAGGCGCCCGGUGACUCCUUCCCCGCGGCGCGCCAAGCGGGCCGAACUCCGCGGCUGAGUCGCGCGGCUCCAGUCACCGCGCGCGGGCUCGGGCUCCGGCCUCGGAGAGCGGUAAACGGAAUCGGUUUCCCACGGUUUCCCCCUUCAUCCCAGGGCCUUUCAAAAGCCGCUCACGAAUUCCGUCGUCCAGUUUGCGCGGAUUCUGAGCCUCGCAUUCACCCAGUGCCACCUGGAAAGGGGACCCUCGAGCCUCCCGCAUUCCCGGGCCUCCAGCCCGUGCACACGGGGAGCAACUUCGUUCCCCUGAGCGCCCUGGCCCCACGACGCGGGCAGAGCUCCGCCCGGUAAAGGUGGCACUGUGGUCGCUCCGGAAUGCUGCCCGCGUGGACGCGGCCGCCGCCUUCUGCUCCCGGUUCCGGCUGCGCGCGGGCAGAGCCCUGGAAACAACGAAAACGGCGAGCAGCGUUGCUUUCCGGAUGUCGGAGUCCCGGAAGCCUCUGGGUGCGAGCCGGUCCUCCGCGUCCCCAGACGUCCCAGGGCCGAGCUCACCGCCGGGCCGCCGGUACCGAAACAGACUCCCCCAGUCGGCUUGCCGGCAAUCCACGCCUCG